UACGGAGGGUGCGAGCGUUGUCCGGAAUCACUGGGCGUAAAGGGCGCGUAGGCGGCGACGUAAGCGUGCGGUGAAAGCUCGGGGCUUAACUCCGAGUCGGCCGUGCGAACUGCGUUGCUCGAGCACUGUAGAGGCAGAUGGAAUUCCGGGUGUAGCGGUGGAAUGCGUAGAGAUCCGGAAGAACACCGGUGGCGAAGGCGGUCUGCUGGGCAGUGGCUGACGCUGAGGCGCGACAGCGUGGGGAGCAAACAGG
This 253-nucleotide ribosomal RNA is filed under the name uncultured prokaryote. Its description in RNAcentral is "partial 16S ribosomal RNA". It matches the Rfam family "Bacterial small subunit ribosomal RNA", at positions 524 to 776 of the family's 1533-position model. The record is from RNAcentral.